UGGUCUUGACAUCCUAGGAAUCCCGAAGAGAUUUGGGAGUGCCGCAAGGAGCCUAGAGACAGGUGCUGCAUGGCUGUCGUCAGCUCGUGUCGUGAGAUGUUGGGUUAAGUCCCGCAACGAGCGCAACCCUUGUCCUUAGUUGCCAGCAUUAAGUUGGGCACUCUAAGGAGACCGCCGGUGACAAACCGGAGGAAGGUGGGGAUGACGUCAAGUCAUCAUGGCCUUUAUGACCAGGGCUACACACGUGCUACAAUGGUAGAAACAGAGGGAAGCCAACGCGCGAGCGGGAGCCAAUCCCAGAAAGCCAGUCGUAGUCCGGAUCGGAGUCUGCAACUCGACUCCGUGAAGUCGGAAUCGCUAGUAAUCGCGAAUCAGCAACGUCGCGGUGAAUACGUUCCCGGGUC
Molecule: ribosomal RNA, 404 nt
Filed under: uncultured bacterium
Lineage: Bacteria
Description: bacterial SSU rRNA
Rfam family: Bacterial small subunit ribosomal RNA
Source: RNAcentral